CAAGCUUCAUUGCUCGAAACCAUAGUGAUUGAUGACUUCUCUUAGUAGUUCAAUGCUACCAUUUUUGUUGAUUCUUCUAUUUCCAUUCUCAUGGGGGACAUCAGCUCACACUCAUGAGGAUUUUCUUCAAUGUCUUUCCCUUUAUUCGGAAGACUCCGCAGCCACUUCUAAGGUCAUUUACACCCCGAACAACACUUCAUAUGCCACUGUUUUGCAGUUCUCGAUACGAAAUCUUAGGUUCAAUUCUUCAAAAUUAACUCCUGUAGUCAUUGUUACACCAACUAUCUUGUCACAUAUUCAGGCUACCAUUCAUUGUUCCCAGAAACACAAUUUACAGAUUAGGAUUCGAAGUGGUGGGCAUGAUUAUGAGGGCCUUUCUUAUAUGUCUGUCCUGCCGUUUGUCAUCCUUGAUCUGAUCAAUCUACGUAAGAUUACCGUUGAUUUGUCGACUAAGACUGCGUGGGUUCAGGCUGGUGCAACUCUAGGUGAACUUUACUAUAGCAUUGCCGAGAAAAGUAGAACUCUUGCUUUCCCUGCAGGUGCUUGUCAUACUGUUGGUGUUGGAGGGCAGUUUAGUGGAGGAGGGUAUGGAGGGUUGCUGCGUAAAUAUGGUCUUGCUGCAGAUAACGUAAUUGAUGCAGAAUUAAUUGAUGCUAAUGGUAGAGUUCUUGAUAGAGAAUCGAUGGGGGAAGAUUUGUUUUGGGCCAUUCGAGGCGGUGGAGGAAAUAGCUUCGGAGUCGUUACAGCAUGGAAAGUAAACUUGGUUGAAGUUCCGCCUACAGUGACCGUCUUUGCUGUCCCAAAAGUCUUGAAAGAAAAUGCAACCAAGCUUAUCCAUCGUUGGCAAUACGUUGCAAAUAAGCUUCCUGAAGAUAUCGUCAUUGCAGCAUAUGUAAACAGAAUUAAUUCUAGUCAAGGAGGAAAUCCAACAAUACAAGCAACAUUCACUUCUUUAUUUCUUGGUGGGGUUGAUAGACUUCUUCCACUGAUGCAAGAGAGCUUCCCUGAGCUUGGUCUUGUAAAAGACGAUUGCAUUGAACUGAGCUGGAUUGAGUUUGCCCUCUUCCUCGCUGGAUUUCCAAGUAACGCAUCCUUGGAUGUGUUGCUUGAUAGGACUCCUCAAUCCACAACAAGUUUCAAAGCAAAAUCUGACUAUGUUAAACAACCCCUGCCUGAAACCGCAUUAGAAGGGAUGUGGGAAACGUUCUUCGAAAAGGACAUUGAGUCCCCUAGUUUGUUCAUGGUUCCUUAUGGGGGAAAGAUGGAAGAGAUUUCUGAGUCAAGCAUCCCAUUUCCACAUAGAGCUGGAAAUUUAUACAAAAUUCACUACUAUGUGGCUUGGACAGAAGAAGGCAAGGAAGCAUCCGAAAGGCAUAUUUCUUGGAUCAGAAGGCUUUACAGUUACAUGACUCCUUAUGUUUCGAAAAAUCCUCGAGAAGCAUACGUCAAUUACAGAGACCUUGACCUCGGAAUAAAUAACCUUGCAGGCAACACAAGUUAUAAGCAAGCAAGCAUUUGGGGUAGGAAGUACUUCAAAAAUAACUUUGACAAGCUGGUACGCAUAAAGACUGAAGUUGAUCCUGCCAAUUUCUUCAGAAAUGAGCAGAGCAUACCACCUUUCUCAUCUUGGUGAUUAAAGGCAUAAGAAGAGAAAGUUAAUGGUAAUACAUUAUUAUAUAUUUCAUCUGGAGAGACAUCAAUAAAGUUAUCCGUUUUAAGAUCAAUUUUUCUACUGAGAUACUUUUGAAGGUGUCCAAGAAAUAUGUGAGAUUUCAUUCAAAUUCAAUAAUAUGCUGUCAUUUCAGUGUUUCUAAGAUUGAAGGUUGAACAGUUGGGAUCAAUGUGGAGAGUUUCAAUUUUUCUAUAUUCAAAAGCUUGAACUUUGACUAAUAAGAAAUUGUGUGGAAAAGUAGGCGAUAAUAGCGAAGAUAAAGAUGGUACUGCAAUUAUGAUUUUACUUGAGAAUUUCCUCUUACGUACUAAGAUGCAAAAAACAUGUUACUUUUUUUUCCCUCUCUCUCUGAUGUAAUAAUAUUAAUGCCGAACAACAAACAACCUGUUAAUUAAUGGAGAACAAAAGUCACACCCCACCCACUUCUUGUCCAGCUAGAAGUGGAAGAAAUGAUGGCACCUAUCUCACUUACUGUCCAGCUGCAAGUGAAAGAACCGAUGAUCACCAAGAGAUGAGAUGUAGUAAGGUGGCAUGUGUUGGAAUGAGCUGGAUCUAUUCCAACUUGCUGCGGAAACACAGCACAACAUGUGUGAAAAAAACACUAGGGAGCUAAACACCAGAAGAAAGAGAGAGAGUGUUGUGAGUGUGAGAGUUUGAGUUGAGUUGAGAAGAGAGUUUCUCCUCCUCCUUGUAAUAUGUAUGGUUUCUCUAGUUAAUGAAAAUAGCAGCUCCAAAUUGCCGAACCUAAAUCUUGCGGGCCUCCAUUUUUUAUCCUAACAACCGGUAUCAAAGCAAGGUUCAUGAGUGUUCUUGAUUUUCCCCCAGAAAUCAAAGUGUUCCAAACUUUGAUUUGAAUAUAGCACUGGAUACUACUCGUUUUGAGGAUUCAAACAACGCAAAAAUCAAGCAUAUCGGAGCUAAAACGAAGCCACACGGUCUGAUCAAAGUUUGCCAGGAAAAGUCAACAAACUUGUGAAGAAGAAAGAGCCCGACCCGCCACGUCAUCCGGGUUACUCUGGCCAGGUAAGCUAACACGUAAGCAUCUUCAUCCCAGCAAGCGUCCACACACAGGACGCAUCUUCAAAACACUCCACUUGCCACACCAGCGACUGAACCUCCGCUUGCCACGUCAUCACAGGGUGUGAUCCUGCGCAAGCAGCUCUACCGGCACCCGCCUCUGUUGCUUGAUCAGAACCAUUAAUUUGACCAGAUCUUGCAUAGUCAGAUUUAAGCCUUCCGGACUCGGAAUCUUGUGAUUUCUGAGUCGAUCCCAACAGACUUGAUCAUUGCUGACACAACCACAGAGUCUGAUUUUGAAGAUUCACACUUGAAGUUUGGGAAAAAAAUGGUGGAGGAAAUAAAGUUGCUGGAAUUGAAAAAAUUGAUGGAAGAGAUUUUGUAUACCGGAGAAUGCAAAUUGAAGAUUAUCUCCACGGAAAGAAACUUCACCUUGCUUUGCUAGGAAGAAAGCUAGAAAAUAUGGAUAAAGAAGUGUUGCUACCCAAUUUUUGACCCAUGUUUUGAUAAAUUUUCAGAAAAAUUCAAAAAUAGCGAAAAACAUUGAAAAUCCAAAAAAAAUACGUUUUUAAUACAUUUGCAUUGUUUUUUAGCAUUUUUAGCAUCGUCUCAAAAGAAUUUAAAUUUUCAAAGAUAUUUGGAACGCGUUCAACUUUUCACGCGUCAUUUUUAAAAUCAUUGAUUUCCCGCAUUGAGUCGAUGUUGAUAUUUGCUCGCUUUCAAAAAUACAAAAAAAAAUAAGAAAAAUCAAAAUUUACAAAAAAGAGGAAAAGAGAAGGAAAGGAAAAGUUGAGGGACUAGUUUGAAAACCUAGCAAAACUUUUCCUAUAAAUACCAAGCUACACUGGUUUUUAAAGGGGGGGCAAUUUUGACAAUAUCAGGAAAAAAUACAAAAAAUAUCUAACCCUAAACCCAUCUUUUUCUCUAGAGCCGCCGCCCCCCCGGUUGAGAAUUUUCUUCCCCUUUCACAGCCGCUGCACCACUCCAACCGGCGCUCCAUUUCCUUUCAUUUUCCAGUCGGUUCCCCCAUUUUCUUCUCCUUGGCCAGCCAACAACAAAAAAGCCCAUUCAUUUUUCCAGCAGCGGCUCCCACUCCAUUUUCCUUCACACAAGCCGCUGCUCCCCUUUCCCCAAGUUUUCCCUUCGGUUUCUUCUUCCCUCUCUGCCAUAGUCCAGCCCCCCACAGAGCCUCUCCAUCUCACUGUUUUCUCCUCCACCGGAGCCGCCACCCCCCCUCUUGAUUAGAUUUUUCUCUUCUUCUCGCCAGCCUAGAGCUUGGCUCUUUGGACUGCACACAAAGCCAAGCGGCCCAUUCCUUCUCCCAGCCGGCCACAGAUAACCAUCUCCCUGUGGCCUCCCUCACUUUGCCAAAACCAAGGAGAAGCCGCCCCCCAAACUGCAGAAAGAAACAAAUCGGAGAGCACCUCCUCGUCUCUGCUCUCUAUCCAAGCCAGACAGCGGCGGUCCUUCCCUUCUCUGAGACAAAGAAACCAGCGACCCUCUCUCGGCCACCGACUCCAGACCACAUCCUUCCCUCAGCCGGCUCUCUCCCAAACAGCCACAACUGGAACCGGGGAGCCAAAGGGAGGCCGCCGCGCCUAUUUAUUUUGCUGUCUUCUCCUCCGCCCGACAGACCCGAGUCCUGCUUUCUUCUUCCCCAGCCGCCUCUGUUUUUUGGCCAAAACCUGAGUGAGCCAAAGUCAUCGCCAGCCACUGAAGUGGAGGAGAAGAAGAAGCCCUCCCAGCCACCAGAUCGGCCAUCGUCAGAAGAAACGUCGACAGAGAAGGGAGAAGGCGGAGCAGCUGGACAGAUCUAAAAAACAAAAUAAAAUCGACUGCUUGGGUGUUUUCUCUUGUUGCAGGUCACGGUGAAAGCCACCACGGGCAGGGAAGAGAAGCAGAGGAGAAGAAGGUGAAACCCAUAACAGCUGACCCGAGGCAGAUCUAAAAAGGGGAGAACCGGAACUGUUUGUGUUGUUGGUUUGCUUUACAGGUGACUGGGAGGUGCACCGCCGGACGGACAGAGAAGAGGAGAAGGAGACGAUCCCGAUCCCGAUCCCGAUCUACCAGCUUGCUGGUCUUCACCGGCGGCGGCGCGUGGGAAGACGCGCCGCCACUGUUCCAGCACUGUUGCUGCGAUUCCAGAAGUGGUUCCUUUGCAAUUCCCGGAGUUUUGGGGACUGUUUUGUAAAUUUUGGAUUAUGUAAUUUUAUUUUUGUUUAGUGUUUAAUUUUUUUAUAAUUUUGUAAUGUGAUGUACAAAAAGAACAAAAAAAAGAAAAGAAAAGAAAGAGAAUAAUAAUAGAAAAAAGAGAUGUGUGUGUUUGUUA
RNA transcript from Populus trichocarpa (black cottonwood), 5018 nucleotides. It is a transcript of the gene named tetrahydroberberine oxidase-like, with no coding region annotated. The transcript has a single exon. NCBI's taxonomy places the organism in Eukaryota, Viridiplantae, Streptophyta, Magnoliopsida, Malpighiales, Salicaceae. The record is from RefSeq and is a predicted model, not a curated record.